Non-coding RNA from Mus musculus (house mouse), 77 nucleotides. The record is from Rfam. Lineage: Eukaryota; Metazoa; Chordata; Mammalia; Rodentia; Muridae.
UGCAAUGAUGAUGAAACUAGAAAAAAAAGGAAGUGCCGUCCGAUGCGACAACUGACGACAUCCCUAGUUAGCUGACU